UACGAAGGGUGCAAACGUUGCUCGGAAUUAUUGGGCGUAAAGCGCACGUAGGCGGCUUUGCAAGUCGGAUGUGAAAUCCCUCGGCUCAACCAAGGAAGUGCAUCCGAAACUGCAGAGCUUGAGUACUUAAGAGGAUCGCGGAAUUCCCGGUGUAGAGGUGAAAUUCGUAGAUAUUCGGAGGAACACCAGUGGCGAAGGCGGCUCACUGGUCCGGUACUGACGCUGAGGUGCGAAAGCGUGGGGAGCAAACAGG
This 253-nucleotide ribosomal RNA is filed under the name uncultured bacterium. Its description in RNAcentral is "partial 16S ribosomal RNA". It matches the Rfam family "Bacterial small subunit ribosomal RNA", at positions 524 to 776 of the family's 1533-position model. The record is from RNAcentral.